GGGUUGUGAGGUUAAGCGACUAAGCGUACACGGUGGAUGCCCUGGCAGUCAGAGGCGAUGAAGGACGUGCUAAUCUGCGAUAAGCGUCGGUAAGGUGAUAUGAACCGUUAUAACCGGCGAUUUCCGAAUGGGGAAACCCAGUGUGUUUCGACACACUAUCAUUAACUGAAUCCAUAGGUUAAUGAGGCGAACCGGGGGAACUGAAACAUCUAAGUACCCCGAGGAAAAGAAAUCAACCGAGAUUCCCCCAGUAGCGGCGAGCGAACGGGGAGCAGCCCAGAGCCUGAAUCAGUGUGUGUGUUAGUGGAAGCGUCUGGAAAGGCGCGCGAUACAGGGUGACAGCCCCGUACACAAAAAUGCACAUGCUGUGAGCUCGAUGAGUAGGGCGGGACACGUGGUAUCCUGUCUGAAUAUGGGGGGACCAUCCUCCAAGGCUAAAUACUCCUGACUGACCGAUAGUGAACCAGUACCGUGAGGGAAAGGCGAAAAGAACCCCGGCGAGGGGAGUGAAAAAGAACCUGAAACCGUGUACGUACAAGCAGUGGGAGCACGCUUCGGCGUGUGACUGCGUACCUUUUGUAUAAUGGGUCAGCGACUUAUAUUCUGUAGCAAGGUUAACCGAAUAGGGGAGCCGAAGGGAAACCGAGUCUUAACUGGGCGUUAAGUUGCAGGGUAUAGACCCGAAACCCGGUGAUCUAGCCAUGGGCAGGUUGAAGGUUGGGUAACACUAACUGGAGGACCGAACCGACUAAUGUUGAAAAAUUAGCGGAUGACUUGUGGCUGGGGGUGAAAGGCCAAUCAAACCGGGAGAUAGCUGGUUCUCCCCGAAAGCUAUUUAGGUAGCGCCUCGUGAAUUCAUCUCCGGGGGUAGAGCACUGUUUCGGCAAGGGGGUCAUCCCGACUUACCAACCCGAUGCAAACUGCGAAUACCGGAGAAUGUUAUCACGGGAGACACACGGCGGGUGCUAACGUCCGUCGUGAAGAGGGAAACAACCCAGACCGCCAGCUAAGGUCCCAAAGUCAUGGUUAAGUGGGAAACGAUGUGGGAAGGCCCAGACAGCCAGGAUGUUGGCUUAGAAGCAGCCAUCAUUUAAAGAAAGCGUAAUAGCUCACUGGUCGAGUCGGCCUGCGCGGAAGAUGUAACGGGGCUAAACCAUGCACCGAAGCUGCGGCAGCGACACUGUGUGUUGUUGGGUAGGGGAGCGUUCUGUAAGCCUGUGAAGGUGUACUGUGAGGUAUGCUGGAGGUAUCAGAAGUGCGAAUGCUGACAUAAGUAACGAUAAAGCGGGUGAAAAGCCCGCUCGCCGGAAGACCAAGGGUUCCUGUCCAACGUUAAUCGGGGCAGGGUGAGUCGACCCCUAAGGCGAGGCCGAAAGGCGUAGUCGAUGGGAAACAGGUUAAUAUUCCUGUACUUGGUGUUACUGCGAAGGGGGGACGGAGAAGGCUAUGUUGGCCGGGCGACGGUUGUCCCGGUUUAAGCGUGUAGGCUGGUUUUCCAGGCAAAUCCGGAAAAUCAAGGCUGAGGCGUGAUGACGAGGCACUACGGUGCUGAAGCAACAAAUGCCCUGCUUCCAGGAAAAGCCUCUAAGCAUCAGGUAACAUCAAAUCGUACCCCAAACCGACACAGGUGGUCAGGUAGAGAAUACCAAGGCGCUUGAGAGAACUCGGGUGAAGGAACUAGGCAAAAUGGUGCCGUAACUUCGGGAGAAGGCACGCUGAUAUGUAGGUGAAGCGACUUGCUCGUGGAGCUGAAAUCAGUCGAAGAUACCAGCUGGCUGCAACUGUUUAUUAAAAACACAGCACUGUGCAAACACGAAAGUGGACGUAUACGGUGUGACGCCUGCCCGGUGCCGGAAGGUUAAUUGAUGGGGUUAGCGCAAGCGAAGCUCUUGAUCGAAGCCCCGGUAAACGGCGGCCGUAACUAUAACGGUCCUAAGGUAGCGAAAUUCCUUGUCGGGUAAGUUCCGACCUGCACGAAUGGCGUAAUGAUGGCCAGGCUGUCUCCACCCGAGACUCAGUGAAAUUGAACUCGCUGUGAAGAUGCAGUGUACCCGCGGCAAGACGGAAAGACCCCGUGAACCUUUACUAUAGCUUGACACUGAACAUUGAGCCUUGAUGUGUAGGAUAGGUGGGAGGCUUUGAAGUGUGGACGCCAGUCUGCAUGGAGCCGACCUUGAAAUACCACCCUUUAAUGUUUGAUGUUCUAACGUGGACCCGUGAUCCGGGUUGCGGACAGUGUCUGGUGGGUAGUUUGACUGGGGCGGUCUCCUCCUAAAGAGUAACGGAGGAGCACGAAGGUUGGCUAAUCCUGGUCGGACAUCAGGAGGUUAGUGCAAUGGCAUAAGCCAGCUUGACUGCGAGCGUGACGGCGCGAGCAGGUGCGAAAGCAGGUCAUAGUGAUCCGGUGGUUCUGAAUGGAAGGGCCAUCGCUCAACGGAUAAAAGGUACUCCGGGGAUAACAGGCUGAUACCGCCCAAGAGUUCAUAUCGACGGCGGUGUUUGGCACCUCGAUGUCGGCUCAUCACAUCCUGGGGCUGAAGUAGGUCCCAAGGGUAUGGCUGUUCGCCAUUUAAAGUGGUACGCGAGCUGGGUUUAGAACGUCGUGAGACAGUUCGGUCCCUAUCUGCCGUGGGCGCUGGAGAACUGAGGGGGGCUGCUCCUAGUACGAGAGGACCGGAGUGGACGCAUCACUGGUGUUCGGGUUGUCAUGCCAAUGGCACUGCCCGGUAGCUAAAUGCGGAAGAGAUAAGUGCUGAAAGCAUCUAAGCACGAAACUUGCCCCGAGAUGAGUUCUCCCUGACCCUUUAAGGGUCCUGAAGGAACGUUGAAGACGACGACGUUGAUAGGCCGGGUGUGUAAGCGCAGCGAUGCGUUGAGCUAACCGGUACUAAUGAACCGUGAGGCUUAACCUUACAACGCCGAAG
RNAcentral lists this ribosomal RNA (2924 nucleotides) under Escherichia coli. Its description in RNAcentral is "bacterial LSU rRNA". It matches the Rfam family "Bacterial large subunit ribosomal RNA". Lineage: Bacteria; Pseudomonadati; Pseudomonadota; Gammaproteobacteria; Enterobacterales; Enterobacteriaceae. The record is from RNAcentral.